CUCCAAAUUGAAAACAACCGAAGGUUGACGCUGUUCUCAAUCUCGAUAAAGUAUUUUUGGUUAGGUUAAUAGCUGUAUAGAAGAUAUUUAACAUGAUUUCAGUUAUAUAAUUGUACGUUUAUUAACAUGGAUGUUGCUGGAGAUUUGACAUUACAAUGGGUAGAGGAGGUGGGAAAUGUGAUCCACGAAGAAGUGAUAUGCGGUUUAGAGGCACAGUUAGUUGGAGCAGAAGAAGAGGUGAUAGGUGCUUGCGAGGAAGUCGCGGUCGAGGAAACAGUGGAAACUGUUCCCGAUGUUGCUCCUACAACAGAGUCAGAAAUAUUAAUGGUACCCCAGUCCAAUGACAUGGAAUCUAUUUACAUAGUGCCACAGGACCAAGGUCAUGAUUAUCUGAAUAUACAGGUUACAGAAGAAGUGAUCGCAGAUAAUUGGGAUAGAUCUGGUCCGGAAGAUGGGGUUGAGAUAUCAGAAACGAAAGUGUCACAUGAAAACUUGUUGGAAUAUGACGACAUGGAAAUACCAUUACCGAUUGAUCAAGAUUCUUAUACAAAUAGUAGACCUUACCCGUGUGACUUUUGUAGCAGGAGGUUCAGGAAAAAAGCAAAUUUAAUGAAUCACAUGGUGGCACAUCAAACAGAUCGCCCUCAUGGUUGUAAUUUAUGUGGAGCACGUUAUGCACGUAAGUGUGAUCUCAUGAAUCAUUUGAAGAUUCAUGCAUACGCGCCAUCUCGAGAUGGUUUGGAAGAUGAUUUAAACGACGACGACUCGUUGGUACCGGAAGAGGAAGAGUCUACUAAGGGUAGACGUAAGAAGGUACAAUCAAGCGUACCAAGAAAACGAAAAAAUCAUUCUGCUAUUUCAAAGCGCAGCAUGGACGAUAAUAAAAUGGAAAUGGGCAAGUAUGUCAAUAAAUCUUACGAUUACGUUGACGAGGAUAUGCGCCUCUUGGAAGAGAUGACCAGUAGAAAUUCUGCGCGUAGUAGUAAUUAUGCAUCAAGCUCAAGAUGGAACGAUCAGAUGUCACCCGUAUCAACUGAACCUCAGGCACCACGGUGGCCUAUAACUGAUCCUACAAAACCAUAUGUAUGUCAGUAUUGCGGCGUUGGUUUUGCAAGGGAAAAGGCGCUCGCGUCUCAUGCUCGUAUCCAUGGUGGUGAUAGCCCGUUUGAAUGUACAACGUGCGGUGAUAUGUUUUGGGACGUUAACAUUCUGAGGGAACAUGUACGCGUGAAGCAUGGUGGUACGGCACAAUCGGAUAUGGAUGAAUAUGAUAACGAUGCUACGUAUACUGGCGAUGAAAGAUUUGGAGAAUUUUAUUGCAAUACAUGCGGUGUUCCUUUUCACCGUUUGGAUUUACUUAAACGUCAUCAAAAGAUUCACGUGAAACAAGAAGCUGAUAUGAUGGAAGGUCCAAGUCAACAUCAUGUUUGCAAUGUUUGUGGUGAAUGGUUUGAAGAGGCUUUAGCAUUAUUAGCACAUGCCGAACUUCAUGCUAGAUCACCCAGUCGUCGAUGCUUAUUAUGCGGUGAAAGGUGUCGUGACGAUGCUGAAGUUGCUGAACAUGUCCGGCAAAAUCAUGCCGAGGACGCUCCACCAAAUACGUGUACUCUUUGCGGCAAAACAUGUAAAGAUAAGCGUAGUUUAUUGAAACACUCGUGGGUUCAUAACGUUGAUAAAACUUUUGGAUGUACAAAAUGUGGCAAACGUUUCCAUAGCAAAGCUAGAUUACGAAGACACAUGGUAUCGCAUCGCAAUAAAAUGGUAGCCUGUGACGAGUGCGGAGAAGAAUUUCCUGAUGGUAGAGCUCUUGUUAGCCAUCGUCAUUCGCAUAAUAAGGAGUUGGGCGGUCGUUCUUUUCCAUGUCGAGAAUGCGGGAAAACAUUCGGCAGUCGUAGUUCACAGCAAAUUCAUAUCCGUAUUCACACUGGAGAAAGGCCGUACGGUUGUAGAUUUUGUUGGAAAGCGUUUGCCGAUGGUGGAACCUUACGGAAGCACGAACGCAUUCAUACAGGCGAGAAACCAUACGGAUGCGCAAUUUGUCCAAGAGCUUUUAAUCAAAGAGUCGUUCUCAGAGAACACGUACGUGCUCACCAUUCAGGACCAGAUCCAAAAUGCGUAGGUAGCAUUACACCGUACUUAUGUAAAGUAUGCGGAGAUGCGUAUGGAACAUCGGAAGAAAUAGUUGCUCACAUAGUGCAGCAUUGUGAUGAUAAUACCGCGUUAAGACGACAACCGCAAACUGGACCACGUAAAUAUAAAAGAAGACGUAAACUUAAACCUCAUGAAACCAAUACGAUGUUGCGUAUGAACGAACAAUACGACAUGAUGGAGGCUGGUUCCGAUUCGGAUGACAAUACCAAAAGAAAACUUGGAAGGAAAAAUAAACAACACCGAUCGAACAUCGAGGAAGGAUAUCAAAAUGUUCUUAAGAGCUUCGAGAGCUCUUUACAAAACAUCAAUUCGAUUGUUAGUAACUCGAAAUUGAAUCCAGGAAAAUCUAAGCUCUCUAAGAAGAAGCUUAGAAAAGAAGAGAAGAAGAGUGAAUCGCAAGCCUCGUGUCAUCCGGGUAGACCAAAAAUGAUUCACACCCAAAAAACGAGAGUGCCCGUAGAGAUCGGUAGCGAUGGAGUUAAAAGAGGACAAAAAACUAAAACUAUGGUGACAAGGACACCUAAAAUGAUGCCACAAGAACAUAAAUUAGGAAUUUUUCCGGGUGGUGAAAGAAACAGGCCGAGAACGAAGAAUGUUAGUUAUCAUAUCGAAGGGAAAUUUCAACCAUCAGCCGCAACAUUCCCGAAACCAAAGGACGAAAUUCCGAGAACACCAACACCGACGCUUCAGCAGUUACCGAUAACGCAUAUAAAACUGGAACCUAAUUUGCAGAAAACUCCGAAUAAUAAUCAUAGAAAUAAUAAUGGUAAUAUUCUUGGCAUGAACAAUGAAAAGAUGGAAUCGUCGGGUAGAAAAAAAUCAGGUGUAUUGAAGAAAAUUAAAAAGCAAAAAGAUGGGAUUAAACAAGAGCCAAUGGAUAUUGACCAAGAUGAAAUACAAAAUAAUAAUAAUACUGAAAGUACCAGCCCCGAAAGGUUAAUGGAACAUACAGUGGAUGGAAACAAUUUAGAAGUUGCAUUUGAAGCAAGUGUCACAACGGAGGAAGAAAAUAUUCUUCCCGACGUAGGGGAAGUAAAUAAUGCCGAGGAUGUUGGGACUGGGAAUGUAAAACUUAGUGUCAAAGUUGAAUCAACACCUCAACGAAUGUUGGCUGUCCAUAGUGUUAUAGCGCCGGUGGAUGAUAUUCCAGAAACUAUAAUACCAGAUGCUGUUGAAUAUACAUGUGAAAUGUGUUCUGCGGUAUUUUCUAGCAGAGCAGAAUUGUUGGUUCAUGUUCCGAUACACAUUUGAUUUAAUUUGUUCGAUGAAAUUAAAAAAGGUAUGCGAAUUAAUUCUAAUCUAAGAAUACUUGUUUAAUCAAGCCAAGAGUUUUAACAUGAUCAAUGAAAGUUUUCUGUUUAUUUGAAUUGGCAUUAUCUUACCAUGCCAAAAUGUCCUCUACUCGUUGCUCUAUGAAGUGCACAAGUUUUUUGUGUUUAACGUAUUUUAAAAGUUGAUGCUGUUUUUAAUUUACCACAGCAUUCUAAGAUAAACAAGCUGAUUUGAAACAAAUUCAAUAAGUAAGUUGACAAACGAAGAAGCCUCUUUUUUUUUCUCUUUUUUUUUCUUCUUCCAAGGAAGAUACUUUUCUGGAAAGAGUACGUUUUAAAAUUAGCAAUUAAUGGUUGCAUUCUUGGAAUAGCAUCAUGUUUUGUAUGUUAUGUACAUACUUAAGGAAUAACUGUUUCUUUUAGCGAUAUGUGUAAUUAUAUUACCAUUAAAGUAGCAAGGAAGUAACUUGAAACCUUUUAAAAAUAUUUAGUGUAAAUCAUUAUGAAUCAGACUUUGUACAGUCUCAAAACUGUGGUAUAGAAUAUUUAAGGAAAAAGAAACUAUUAUAAGACCAAUGUAAAGUAACAGUUUCUUAGAUAAAAAUAAAAAGAAUACGUAAAUAUAUAUAUAUUAUAUAUAUAUAUUUGCAUAAGACAUAUUAAAAAAUUGAUUCAUCAGAAAUCUAUAAGUUAUGUAUAAUAACAUGGUUUUUAAUUCAAUGUUACAUACAUUUACAUUCCCGUAUAACGGUAGCUUUAACAUUGUUUAAGCGUAAUUGAAAAGUUUCAAAAACUUCUUUAAAUAACGCGUGCAUAGAGCAGCCAGUGCAGGUGGCAAUAAUUGCGACAGGUGCAAAGUCAAAAUAAUUUUGAAAACAAAAUCCAAGAAAAUUUAAGAAAAAUUGUAAGUAGGAACAUGUACACAGUUGUUUCAUUUUUUUUUUUUUUUCUAUUAUCUGCAAGAAAAUUCAUUGCAUGUAAGUAUCCGUGGCUUUCUUUUUUAUAGCUAAGUAAAUUAAAAUAAUUAACGUAGAAUAUAAUACUAUGUUGCAUGAGAAUGUUUGAAACAUUUUGAGAAGAAUUAAUUCUUAUACGUAUUACUUCAGUCGUAAGUUAAAGUUUAAGAACAUGUAUAGAUUAAUGAGCAUUAAAAUUAGUAUCUCCUUAAUAGAAUUGUUUGUAUCUUUCAGGGAUAAAGUAGUUAAAAAACAAAAAAAACUGUACAUAUUAUUGUCUUGGAUAUGGUACGGUGAUUUAUUGUUAACUGUAGACAUAUUUUUUUUAAUAAAUUGUCAAUAAUUAUAAAAAAUACAAUUAUGUCCGCACAAAGUCACGGAUAAUACAAAGUACAUAUAAUAAUAAUAUAUG
This is an unclassified non-coding RNA of Megachile rotundata (alfalfa leafcutting bee), 4790 nucleotides long. The record is from RefSeq and is a predicted model, not a curated record. Lineage: Eukaryota; Metazoa; Arthropoda; Insecta; Hymenoptera; Megachilidae.